AGAAAAGAGAGAAAAAGAAAUAGAAAACCUGACUAAUUGGCAUUUUUUGUCCUGAGAUUUUGGUAGAAGAAUGAGAGAAAUGGACUAUUGGUGUUUCUCUUUCCUCUACCCACUUUCCUCUUUUAAAAUGCACAAUUUUAUCAGACCAUGUUGAGAUAAGGAGGGGUUUGGAGGUUUUUAGAGAUCAGCGGUAUUUAUGGAUGAAGUGACGAUUUAACUCCAGGAGACUGGGAUUUGGAAAAAUUAUGUCAUUUUUUUUUCUGACAGCCAGGACAGCACUUGAGGACUUCAAACAUCUCUGAUGGAACGGCCUGGUACUUUGAUAAAAAGAAGGAUGGUUUAUUUGUGUUUUUAACCUUUUUGACUUUGUAUUUUAUCCUUCUGACUUUAGGUUAAUGACUUUCUUUCUUCAGCAUUGUGGAUGAAUUAGGUUUUGUCAUGGGGAAAAACAUGAUCUGCAAAUUCAUCAUUUUUUGAGACUGUGAAUAUCAGCAAAACUAUCAACUUUCAGGAAAAUGGAAAGUCUCUCAGAGAUGAAGACUGAAUACAGUGGAGAGAGAACUUCUGGAUUCAAGGACAUUGAAAAUAAUAGCUACUGUCCACUUUCAGGUGAAGUUGAGCAUGGAUGAUAUGAUGUUUGUGAGCCUGAUCAUGUUGUACCCCUAUUAUAUGCUAUGCCACUGCAGCGAUCAAGCUUGUCUAAAACCACCCCUGCCUUCAUACCACUCAAGGAGAAGACAAAUAUAGUUGGUUAUUGGAAGAACCAACAGGAUUUUACAGGAUAAGUAGACAUUUCAUAGAGCUCUUGAAACCUGAAAAUGAUUGACAUUGCUGUGUGAAAGGAAAAUAUCUUGGGCCCCCAAAAUCACUAAGUUAAAGGGA
Molecule: long non-coding RNA, 882 nt
Filed under: Homo sapiens (human)
Lineage: Eukaryota; Metazoa; Chordata; Mammalia; Primates; Hominidae
Description: HSALNT0359238
Source: RNAcentral